Molecule: long non-coding RNA, 641 nt
Organism: Mercenaria mercenaria
Lineage: Eukaryota; Metazoa; Mollusca; Bivalvia; Venerida; Veneridae
Exons: 3
Source: RefSeq, a predicted model, not a curated record
UGUGAGGCGCUAUUGAUUCGCCAUUCACGUCAGAACACCGUAUAUAAAGUCACCAGAGACUUUCACCAAGUCCUUUGGCGUGGUCACUCUACAAGUGGCUUUUGUGUUGGAACUAUUGAAAUAAUGUCACUUAAAACAACUGUGUGGUGCCUUUGCUUUGCUGUAGUGAUAUGUAUGAAUAUGGUAGCAAGCAGAUCUCUCUUUGAUUCGGGACCCAGAGCAGACUUAGAAGAUUCAAGCCUUGAAGACGGAAUGGUAAAACGUCAGAUGGACAGCCAAGAAAUGGCAUUUUUGCAGUAUUGUUUGACCAGAGGGAGAUUCGACUUAAGAUGCCGCCAACCAAAAGGAUACACUAUAACUGUUGUGAGACAGUAGACAUAUACCUUGUUAACAUGUCUUUUAGGACUGUGUACAUUCGUUAUCAAAAUAUGAUAUCAAAUCUAUGUGCAUUGUUCACAUAUUAUGUGCUUUGUUAAGAAAAACAUGAAGUUUUCCUGCUGUAAAAUACGAAAACACGUACACUAUACACUCUUAGACGAUUUCGCAACUUUCAAACACAGAACGCACAGAACACACAUUUUGUCCAUUUUUUUUUCAAAUAUCAUGUCUCAAUUUGGUAAUAAAAGAUUGACUGAGAUAAA